ACUGUCUCAUGGCACUGAGAAUUAAAUGAAAAAAAUAUGCAAAGCAUUGAGAACAGUGUCUCCAAGUGUUUGCUCUUUUCAUUUGCUAAUUUUAUAGGCGUGGAAACUGAAACUCAAGGGAAGUGGAGUUUCGAUUGGUACAUGGUGUGCCAGACCUUGGCCACAUUUGGCAGUCUUGUCCUCGAAAGGGUGCCAGGGUUGCCAAGGGUGCCGGCUGGUGAGGGGCAAGGAGAGAGGGUUGUGGCCGGGGGUCAGUGAGGAGGGAGGGGAGCUGCGGGGGAGAGUGAAGCAGUGCAUAAGGUGUCUGUCUCACCGUCUUGAGCCUUCCGAAACUCUUCUUUGGAAGCAAGGGGUGUCCGAAUAAGGAAGAAAUAAAGUCCCUUUAUUUGUAGGCACAGCUGCUUAAAGAAACAAGCUGGCCCCUGAUGGUGCCAGAGCUUCUUGACCUCUGCCCAGAUACCAGAGGGAGAUAAGACCCCCAAAACUGGCAGAAACUGGAACAGGCAACCCCUUGUUACCUUCAGAACUUUACCAUGUCAUUAUAAUGCUAACGUCCCCACCUGUAGAAGAAAAUCACCAUUAUUUCUGAACAUGUGUCAGAGGCGUGUGAACUAGAGCAACUCCAUCUUGAAUAAGAGCUGAGUAAAAUGAGGCUGAGACCUACUGGGCUGCAUUCCCAGACAGUUAAGGCAUUCUAAGUCACAGGAUGAGAUAGGAAGUCGGCACAAGAUACAGGUCAUAAAGACCUUGCUGAUAAAACAGUUGCAGUAAAGAAGCCGGCCAAAACCUACCAAAACCAAGAUGGUGACAAGAGUGACCUCUGCUCGUCCUCACUGCUACACUCCCACCAGAGCCAUGACAGUUUACAGAUGCCAUGGCAACAUCAGGAAGUUACCCUACGUGAUCUAAAAAGAGGAGGCAUGAAUAAUCCACCCCUUGUUUAGCAUAUAAUCAAGAAGUUUAGCAUAUAAUCAAGAAAUAACCAUAAAAAUGGGCAAUCAUCAGCCCUCAGGGCUGCUCUAUGAAGUAGAUUUUCUUUUAUUCCUUUAUUUUCAUAAUAAAUUUGCUUUCACUUUACUGUAUGGACUCACCCUGAAUUCUUUCUUGAGCGGGAUCCAAGAACCCUUUCUUAGUUCUAGAUCAGGACCCCUUUCUGGUAACACAUCUUGCAUUGUAUGGAGAGGCAUGUUUAUGAC
Molecule: long non-coding RNA, 1196 nt
Filed under: Homo sapiens (human)
Lineage: Eukaryota; Metazoa; Chordata; Mammalia; Primates; Hominidae
Description: HSALNT0298557
Source: RNAcentral